GUAGGUGUGUCUGCAGCUGGUUAUGUAAAAACACUAUCACACACACCUUUGUACAGACUCAGAUAUACUGAUAUGUUUUCCUUUUUCAGUCGUCGGUCCUGUAAUUUGAGUGCUUAGAACACAAAAGGGUUCGAUCAAGCAUAAACUGGAGUUUCAAGUGAGGCAGAAGAAGCGCUCAGACCUUCCUUCUGCUGCUGGUUUAACUCUCUAACAAUGUGGCUUUAUAGCUUUUUGCUGAGUUUCGACCUCAAGGGGCUCUUUCUGUUUAUUUUUAUUUUCAUCUUACUAGCUUACUUCUUCAAAAACAGGAAUCCUCCAAAUUUUCCUCCAGGACCGUUCCCUCUUCCCUUUGUUGGGAAUUUGCUCAGUAUGGACAUGAAACAUCCACAUAUUUAUUUUACUAAGCUGGCUGACGUCUAUGGGAACGUGUUCAGCGUUCACUUCGGCAGUGAAAAGACGGUGUUUGCAUCUGGGUACAAGAUGGUGAAGGAAGCCAUCAUCACACAAGCAGAAAACUUUGUAGAUCGACCGUACGAUCCAAUCAGUGAUAGAUUAUACUCAGGAGGUGGUUUAUUCAUGAGCAGUGGUGAAACAUGGAAGAGACAGCGACGCUUUGCCUUGUCUACCUUACGUAGCUUUGGUCUGGGCAAAAGCAGUCUGGAGCAGAAUAUCUGUGAGGAGGUUCGACACCUGCAGGAGGAGAUGGAGAAGGAGAAAGGUGAACCAUUCAACCCAGCAGGCCUCUUCAACAACGCUGUGUCCAACAUCAUUUGCCAGCUGGUGAUGGGGAAACGGUUUGACUACAGCGACCACAAAUUCCGGAUCAUGCUGAAGUAUCUGUCUGAAAUUGUUGCUCUGGAGGGCUCUGUAUGGGGACUGCUGUAUGACUCGUUCCCUAAUGUGAUGAAGCACUUGCCAGGUCCUCACAACAAAAUAUUCAGCCACUUCGACAGCGUCAUAGAGUUCAUCGGUGAGGAAGUCAAGAGUCACAAGAAGAACCUGGACCGCAACAAUCCUCGGGACUACAUCGACACUUUCAUCAUUGAAAUGGAGAAUCACAAAGAGUCUGACCUGGGCUUCACUGAGACCAAUCUGGCUAUGUGCUCUACGGAUCUGUUCUUGGCUGGAACAGAAACAACCUCCACCACUUUGCUGUGGGCUUUGGUUUACCUCAUCAAAUACCCUGAUAUCCAGGACAAGGUCCAUGCAGAGAUAGACAGAGUGAUCGGACAGGCCCGCCCUCCCAGUAUGGGAGACAGACUCAACCUUCCCUACACUGAUGCGGUUAUCCAUGAGAUCCAGAGGAUGGGAAACAUUGUUCCUCUCAAUGGACCCAGAAUGGCUGCCAAGGACACGACACUGGGUGGUUACUUCAUACCCAAGGGUACUACUUUGUUGCCCAGCCUGACCUCUGUGCUGUUCGACAAGACUGAAUGGGAGACUCCAGACAGCUUCAACCCAGGACACUUUUUAGACGCUGAGGGAAAGUUUGUGAAGAGAGAAGCUCUGCUGCCUUUCUCUGCAGGAAAACGUGUGUGUCUCGGAGAAGGCCUUGCCAAGAUGGAGCUGUUCCUGUUUUUGGUCGGGUUGCUACAGAAGUUCUCUUUUUCUGUUCCUGAUGGAGUAGAGCUGAGUACAGAAGGAGUUACUGGAAGUACACGUGUACCUCACCCCUUCAAGGUUUACGCUAAUGUUCGCUGAAUCAUGCAACAGAUCACUGAAAGAUUUCAUCAGCAUACAUUUUUAAACUUCACAGUGAUGAUUAAAUAUGUCACGUACAAGUCACAAAUUAACUGGAAUCAUUACUAAAUCACUCGUUAAUAAAUGAUUUAGGGAUUGUGUCACAAACUUAGUUUUCCCAUCAAUUUUCUUCCACUUAUUUGUGGUCUAGUCAUAGUGGCAAGAGGUUUAGCCGGGCAUUCCAGCAUCCUUUUCCCUAGCAAUGCAUAUAAGUCCUUCUGAUGUGUGUUCCCAAGACAGAUUGGGUAUGUAGUCCGUCCAGAAGGUUCUGGGUCUGCCUGCAGUAGAGACAGCGUUUAACAAUAUGCCCUGCUGACAUGCUUGUGAAAUACUGGAGCUGAUGAUGGUGGCACAAGGAAAUGUUUUAUAGUAGAGGUAAUGAAGGGGAACUAUAGCAUGCUCUUUGUUUUGCCACAAUGUGCAACUGUUGCUGACACUGUUUUGUAGACAGCAAGCAGCUGCAGCUAAACUCUUUCCUGCUGUUGCUUUCCCACUAUAUAUUUUUAGUUGGACUAUAAUAUGACAGAUUUCAUUCUUCUCUUUUGCUGCCUACAGUUUGUAUGGUUGGAUCUAUUCGAGUAGGGUUGAUCUGUAAAUAGAUGCUUGUGACAUGUGAGAUGUGGUGAUGAUAUAAAAUCACCCAUAAACAAACAUCUGUGUGUCAAAUGAUUUGAA
Larimichthys crocea (large yellow croaker) is the source of this 2415-nucleotide RNA transcript. It is a transcript of the gene named cytochrome P450 2J6, with no coding region annotated. The transcript is spliced from 10 exons. Lineage: Eukaryota; Metazoa; Chordata; Actinopteri; Sciaenidae. The record is from RefSeq and is a predicted model, not a curated record.